UGGGAAUUUUGGACAAUGGGCGCAAGCCUGAUCCAGCAAUGCCGCGUGCAGGAUGAAGGCCUUCGGGUUGUAAACUGCUUUUGUACGGAACGAAAAGCCUCUCUCUAAUACAGGGGGGUGAUGACGGUACCGUAAGAAUAAGCACCGGCUAACUACGUGCCAGCAGCCGCGGUAAUACGUAGGGUGCAAGCGUUAAUCGGAAUUACUGGGCGUAAAGCGUGCGCAGGCGGUUUUGUAAGACAGUGGUGGAAUCCCCGGGCUCAACCUGGGAACUGCCAUUGUGACUGCAAGGCUGAGUGCGGCAGAGGGGGGAUGGAAUUCCGCGUGUAGCAGCGAAAUGCGUAGAUAUGCGGAGGAACACCGAUGGCGAAGGCAAUCCCCUGGGCCUGCACUGACGCUCAUGCACGAAAGCGUGGGGAGCAAACAGAUUAGAUACCCUGGUAGUCCACGCCCUAAAACGAUGUCAACUGGUUGUUGGGGAUUUAUUUCUUCAGUAACGAAGCUAACGCGUGAAGUUGACCGCCUGGGGGAGUAC
RNAcentral lists this ribosomal RNA (535 nucleotides) under uncultured bacterium. RNAcentral describes it as "partial 16S ribosomal RNA". It matches the Rfam family "Bacterial small subunit ribosomal RNA", at positions 356 to 883 of the family's 1533-position model. The record is from RNAcentral.